UGUCUGGCAAAUUUCCCAUAUAUCUUAUCAACUACUAUUCUAUACAAAGAAAGAUAACUCCAAUUGAAAAUUAAUUGCUAUUGCACAAUAUUGUGCAAUUAGAUAUUUCUUCCUAUUGUGCAAUACUGUGCAAUUGAAAAUUUCUUGCUAUUGCACAAUACUUGAUAUGGAAUCCUGAUUUGGACCAACUUGAAAACUGGCCCAUAAUCAAAAAAUCAAA
Molecule: long non-coding RNA, 220 nt
Filed under: Mytilus galloprovincialis (Mediterranean mussel)
Lineage: Eukaryota; Metazoa; Mollusca; Bivalvia; Mytilida; Mytilidae
Source: RNAcentral